AAAAACAGAGCUUCUCAAAAGCAGAUAAAUAACAAUAUAAACAAAAGAGAAGUUAGAAGCCCUCAAACACGUUUGAGUUGGAGUAGAGUAGGGCUUCUUGAACUUCGGGUCUCCUCUUGAAUGUCUGGUCGACUUGAAUGCAGGAGGAGACUUCUUUAAAUGCUGGGAAGAGGUAGCUGGAUGGAGUUAAUGGCGCUCUUCCUUCUUUUC
Molecule: long non-coding RNA, 210 nt
Filed under: Phoenix dactylifera (date palm)
Lineage: Eukaryota; Viridiplantae; Streptophyta; Magnoliopsida; Arecales; Arecaceae
Description: long non-coding RNA (PDAC_LNC009928)
Source: RNAcentral